RNAcentral lists this ribosomal RNA (497 nucleotides) under uncultured bacterium. RNAcentral's name for it is "partial 16S ribosomal RNA". It matches the Rfam family "Bacterial small subunit ribosomal RNA", at positions 28 to 507 of the family's 1533-position model. The record is from RNAcentral.
GAUGAACGCUGGCGGCGUGCCUAAUACAUGCAAGUCGAGCGAACGGACGAUUAGCUUGCUUUUCUGAUGUUAGCGGCGGACGUGUGAGUAACACGUGGAUAACCUACCUAUAAUUCUUGUAUAACUUCGUGAAACCGCAUCUAAUACCGGUUAAUAUUUUGAACCUCAUGUUUCAAAAGUUUAUGACGGUCUUUCUGUCACUUAUAGAUUGUUCCGCGCUGCAUUAUCUAGUUGGUAAGGUAACGGCUUACCAAGGCAACGAUGCAUAGCCGACCUGAGAGGGAGAUCGGAGACAAUGGAAGGGAGACACGGAACAGAAGACGACGGGAGGCAGCAGUAGGGAAUAUUGCGCAAUGGGCGAAAGCAUGACGGAGCAAGGGCGCGUGAGAGAAGAAGGUAUUCGGAUCGUAAAACUCUGUUAGUAGGGAAGAAAAUAAGUGUAAGUAAAUGUGCAAAAAAUGACGGUAACUAAUCAGAAAGCCACGGCUAACUACGUG